AUGGGGAGAAGGCAGACCGCCGUGAACGAGACACAGCCUGCUACGCACCGGCCCGCCCCGUGCCAGCGGCCGAGCCUGGCUCCCUCCCGGAGGCUCCAGCCCCCUCGGGCCUGUCCAUCCAAAGCCAACACGCCUGCGUAUGAAUUCAAGUGCAAUCUGGGGUCGACUUCGCUCUUCCCUCUGAGAUCUACGGGCAGACGGCCGACUCGGCAGGCCCCACCAUCCCCCUUUCUGUGGAAAGGCCCGCGAAGGAGGCCAGAGGAAGGAGCGAGGCCCGUGUUCUUCCGGCCCCAAAGGCGGGCCGUGACUUUCCUGGGCCGCCGAGGGAGGGGGACGAGGGGCUCCCUAACCCACGGGGGGAGGCAUGAGCUGGAGGAAGCCCACUGCCAAGCUCCACACGCUCCCCUCGGGGGCAGAUCCUGGCCGGCCAUCGGAGCGUCCGUCCGUAGGAAACCCUCCAAUCCCGUCCUUCCGUCUUCCGAAACGCCCACGAAUGGGCUGCUGUUUAGCAGAAGCCACCAUCGCGGGGCUCCUCGGCGGCGCUCCAUCUUCGCGCAUGCCGGGCAACAUAAGGCAAAAGGCAAAAGAGGCCUUGAAUCGGCACAGAAUUCCCCAUGGACCGAAGGGGCCGACGGUCCUGGUGUCCAAGUGUCAAAGCAGCGCCCGGGAAGCUCCUGCCCAGCACACGCCGCCACGGAAGCCCCAAGGAGUCUCCGGCGCAGUCUUCUCGCCCCCGUGUCCUGGGGCAGCGGCUGGCCGCGACGCCCCCCGUCAGAGCAGCAUUGGACACCCAGAGCUUUUCGGCAGCCUCUCUGGCCAUCGGGGUGUCGCGCCGUCUCAUGUGUCCAUGGGGAUGGGCACGUCCCCCCCGGAACACACUGUCCAGCCAUGGACGCUCCCCCGGUUGGGCUCUCCAGCCCGGAGAGGAAGGCUCUGGGCGGAGGCGUUCCCAGCUCUCCGCCCUCUCUGCCCUCUCGGGGUCUCCUCGAGGACCCCCGGCUGCCUGGCUCGCUCGGUCCAGUUCGUUCUAGCUACGGUGAAAAGGUCGGUGCACCCAGUCUACGAGUUUGUUGCUUUUUCAUUUUUAAUAUUCGCUCUGCAUGCUUGGUCUAUGUGCAUGCGCUCAUAUAA
This 1131-nucleotide long non-coding RNA is filed under the name Monodelphis domestica (gray short-tailed opossum). RNAcentral's name for it is "lncRNA (ENSMODG00000029744.1)". The record is from RNAcentral. Lineage: Eukaryota; Metazoa; Chordata; Mammalia; Didelphimorphia; Didelphidae.